Triticum aestivum (bread wheat) is the source of this 125-nucleotide non-coding RNA. NCBI's taxonomy places the organism in Eukaryota, Viridiplantae, Streptophyta, Magnoliopsida, Poales, Poaceae. The record is from Rfam.
UGAUUACUCCCUCCGUCCAAAAUUACUUGUCGCAAAAGUGGAUAAAAAUGGAUGUAUCUAGAACUAAAAUAAGUCUACAUACAUCCAUUUCUUCGACAAGUAUUUCCGGACGGAGGGAGUACUUU